UGAUAGUCUGAUCGAGUCGAAGAACGGGUAGUCGGCCUGAGAGGUGACCGGCCACACUGGGACUGAGACACGGCCCAGACUCCUACGGGAGGCAGCAGUGGGGAAUAUUGCACAAUGGGCGAAAGCCUGAUGCAGCGACGCCGCGUGAGGGAUGACGGCCUUCGGGUUGUAAACCUCUUUCAGCAGGGAAGAAGCGAAAGUGACGGUACCUGCAGAAGAAGCACCGGCUAACUACGUGCCAGCAGCCGCGGUAAUACGUAGGGUGCGAGCGUUGUCCGGAAUUAUUGGGCGUAAAGAGCUCGUAGGCGGUUUGUCGCGUCGAUUGUGAAAGCCCGGGGCUUAACCCUGGGUCUGCAGUCGAUACGGGCAGGCUAGAGUUCGGCAGGGGAGACUGGAAUUCCUGGUGUAGCGGUGAAAUGCGCAGAUAUCAGGAGGAACACCGGUGGCGAAGGCGGGUCUCUGGGCCGAUACUGACGCUGAGGAGCGAAAGCGUGGGGAGCGAACAGGAUUAGAUACCCUGGUAGUCCACGCCGUAAACGGUGGGCACUAGGUGUGGGCAACAUUCCACGUUGUCCGUGCCGCAGCUAACGCAUUAAGUGC
This 600-nucleotide ribosomal RNA is filed under the name uncultured Streptomyces sp. RNAcentral's name for it is "bacterial SSU rRNA". It matches the Rfam family "Bacterial small subunit ribosomal RNA", at positions 257 to 867 of the family's 1533-position model. Lineage: Bacteria; Bacillati; Actinomycetota; Actinomycetes; Kitasatosporales; Streptomycetaceae. The record is from RNAcentral.